Long non-coding RNA from Solanum pennellii, 494 nucleotides. RefSeq lists it as uncharacterized. Lineage: Eukaryota; Viridiplantae; Streptophyta; Magnoliopsida; Solanales; Solanaceae. The record is from RefSeq and is a predicted model, not a curated record. The transcript is spliced from 3 exons.
GUAGGAUUUCCCGAAAGCGUUCUCCACUUCCUUUCCUCUCUAUCCUCCGCCUCAAUUUCCUUUCUCCUCUAUUCCACCACCUCCAUUAUUCUUGUUCCUUUUUCUUUGUUUUUGAUUCUUGUCCACCUUUGGGUCAUAAAUCUUCCGCAUCAAUGGACAGUGAGGCGAUAUAACAGCUCACAAAGAUGUGAAUCCCAGUGGAGGUUUGGAAUUCUCGCAGAUCUUUUUGGUGGGAUUGAACCAUGCCUCUCCUUCUAAAGGUUUGAGGAAUCAACCUGCCGAGUCGGGGCAUUUCUCUGAAGAACCUUCUGGAGCUUGGUAGAGCCAGGAAUGACUUUUAUUUUCUGUGCACCAAGUGUAACAACUACUGUUCCUAUUAUGAACACACCGGUUCCUCCCAUACUACUUGCUACUCUUCAACAUGUUAUCCUACUUUCUCCUAUACUCAAUUGUGAAAAAUUUUAGUUGAAUGUAAAUUUAUAGCUACAUUAUGA